This 253-nucleotide ribosomal RNA is filed under the name uncultured bacterium. RNAcentral describes it as "partial 16S ribosomal RNA". It matches the Rfam family "Bacterial small subunit ribosomal RNA", at positions 524 to 776 of the family's 1533-position model. The record is from RNAcentral.
UACGGAGGGAGCUAGCGUUGUUCGGAAAUACUGGGCGUAAAGCGCACGUAGGCGGCGCAGCAAGUCAGGGGUGAAAUCCCGGGGCUCAACCCCGGAACUGCCCUUGAAACUGCAGUGCUAGAAUCUUGGAGAGGUCAGUGGAAUUCCGAGUGUAGAGGUGAAAUUCGUAGAUAUUCGGAAGAAUACCAGUGGCGAAGGCGACUGACUGGACAAGUAUUGACGCUGAGGUGCGAAAGCGUGGGGAGCAAACAGG